RNAcentral lists this long non-coding RNA (356 nucleotides) under Androctonus crassicauda. The record is from RNAcentral. Lineage: Eukaryota; Metazoa; Arthropoda; Arachnida; Scorpiones; Buthidae.
CGCCUAAUUCCGUUUUGAUCCGGUUUAACGUUUCUACCAUGGAUGAUGAUAACACAAUGAAAAUAAGAAAAGGAGAGAGAACUAAUAUGAAAUUCAAUGGAACGAACAACGAGACAACUACAUUCGGAAGCAAACCAACCAUCAUUACUCCGAAAACAACAAAGUUUGAACCAAAUAUGUCGUCCUCAAAUAGUUCAAUAUUUCUCAUUCCUAUAGCAUCGGACACGAAUCAACAAAAUAAUUCGGCAAAUAAAUCGUCUUUAUUAAAAGUUGUACUCUUAGUACAACCUAGUACUGAAUGAAUAAAUUAAAAUAAUGCAAACGUCUCUCAUUUUGAACUAAUAAUAAAUUUAUCA